AUGCCAUUUCUAGAGUUGAAAAGCCCUGAACCCAAACUGCUGCACUGGUGAAUAAAGGGCAUUCCUGCUCCUGUCCUUUUACAGCUGCUUAGUGUGACACACAGGCACCCCAGGCUGAGCACACACUGAGCUGUGCCCAGUUCUUCAGGAGCCUUCCCACGGUGUGGCUCCCUGGAUUCUCCCAGUUGGCCUUCUUGGAAGGAGCUGUUGCUGGCCAGCGUUUGCAGGGGAGGAUGAAUGCCUGUCACUGAGGCUUUACAGUGGGUGGCCCCUGAAGCGGGGCGGUGGCCCCUGAAGCGGGGCAGUCACCAGGCUUGCGCUGAGAGCCACCGCCCCUGUGCGCACCUAACAGGGCGCGCUCCUGCUGAUGCUUCCCUGGCUCAGUUCUUCGGAUCUCCAGAGCAAGAAGGCCACUUAGUCCUUUUUCUCUGGGUGACAUCCUAGAAUAACACUAUAUACAAUGUAGCUCACAUUACAGGACCGAAGGCUUGAUGGAGGGGCUAGAGGUGGCCCUUGUUGUGAAAGUCGAUCAGAACACCUGAGGGAGGAAGGGGUCUGCAGUUUUCCAGGCCCUUCUCGCUGCUAAGGCUGCUGUGGUGCUGUAGAUGGGCUGGGAUUGCUGGGCAGAGGCUGCUACUGCUGGUGAGCUGGUCAUGCCCUGUGUGGCAUAGAAGGGUGGGAGGUGCUGGGGUGGCUGCUGGCCUGGCCUCCAGGAGUUCUGCACAGGAGGUAGACACUGCCCAGAUGCUGGGUGGAGGGAUAGCGAUGGCCUUUGAAACUGGAGAGAGUUUCAAAGGUCUCACCAUGGAAGAGUGAUUUCUGAUUUCUUUCCUUUCAGUUGUAUGUGUGGAAAACAGCUGGCCCGGCUUCCAUUAGCAAAUUUAAAUCAUCCUCAGUAUUAAAUUAGAGGCCAGAAUGAUCUUCAGGAUUAGAACAACUUCUGAAUCUUUGCAGUAGGAAAUGUUUUGAUAUGCAAGUGCUUUUCCAGCCAAACGUCUGUGCUCUCCAUGUCACUGAGGGCCACAGUUUCCUCUGACAUCUGUCACUGUCACUUCACCAGGCAGGUCUUGGAGUCCCAUGGCAAAAUCACUUUUGUCAGACAAAGAAUUAAUGUAUCCUUUACUUUUCUCUGGAAUAAAAUCAUUUCUUCUGUGAAGGAAAA
Non-coding RNA from Callithrix jacchus (white-tufted-ear marmoset), 1162 nucleotides. The record is from RefSeq and is a predicted model, not a curated record. NCBI's taxonomy places the organism in Eukaryota, Metazoa, Chordata, Mammalia, Primates, Cebidae.